This 1015-nucleotide ribosomal RNA is filed under the name Polyporales sp. 4 SR-2012. RNAcentral describes it as "eukaryotic LSU rRNA". The stretch from base 738 to 1015 matches the Rfam family "Eukaryotic large subunit ribosomal RNA", at positions 1 to 272 of the family's 3401-position model. The record is from RNAcentral. Lineage: Eukaryota; Fungi; Basidiomycota; Agaricomycetes; Polyporales.
UGUACACACCGCCCGUCGCUACUACCGAUUGAAUGGCUUAGUGAGGUCUUGGGAUUGGCUUCGGGGAGCCGGCAACGGCACCCUGUCGCUGAGAACUUGAUCAAACUUGGUCAUUUAGAGGAAGUAAAAGUCGUAACAAGGUUUCCGUAGGUGAACCUGCGGAAGGAUCAUUAUCGAGUUCUGAAACGGGUUGUAGCUGGCCUUCCGAGGCAUGUGCACGCCCUGCUCAUCCACUCUACACCUGUGCACUUACUGUGGGUUUCAGGAGCUUCGAAGCGAGGGUUUAAUCGCUCUCGCCGAGUUGUUACUGGGCCUACGUUUAUCACAAACUCUCAAAGUAUCAGAAUGUAAACGCGUCUAACGCAUCUAUAUACAACUUUCAGCAACGGAUCUCUUGGCUCUCGCAUCGAUGAAGAACGCAGCGAAAUGCGAUAAGUAAUGUGAAUUGCAGAAUUCAGUGAAUCAUCGAAUCUUUGAACGCACCUUGCGCUCCUUGGUAUUCCGAGGAGCAUGCCUGUUUGAGUGUCAUGAAAUUCUCAACCUAACAAGUUCUUAACGGGACUUGCGUAGGCUUGGACUUGGAGGCUUGUCGGCUCUAGCAGUCGGCUCCUCUCAAAUGCAUUAGCUUGGUUCCUUGCGGAUCGGCUCACGGUGUGAUAAUUAUCUGCGCCGCGACCGUUGAAGCGUUUAAUGGCCAGCUUCUAAUCGUCUCUUGCGAGACAGCUUUCAUCGAACUCUGACCUCAAAUCAGGUAGGACUACCCGCUGAACUUAAGCAUAUCAAUAAGCGGAGGAAAAGAAACUAACAAGGAUUCCCCUAGUAACUGCGAGUGAAGCGGGAAAAGCUCAAAUUUAAAAUCUGGCGGUCUUUGGCCGUCCGAGUUGUAGUCUGGAGAAGUGCUUUCCGCGCUGGACCGUGUAUAAGUCUCUUGGAACAGAGCGUCAUAGAGGGUGAGAAUCCCGUCUUUGACACGGACUACCAGUGCUUUGUGAUGCGCUCUCAAAGAGUCGAGUGU